Molecule: ribosomal RNA, 353 nt
Filed under: uncultured bacterium
Lineage: Bacteria
Description: bacterial SSU rRNA
Rfam family: Bacterial small subunit ribosomal RNA
Source: RNAcentral
GUAAGACUAACUCCCCAAUGAUAUCCCACGAAGGCAUCCGAAUGGGAUUAAAGAUUUAUCGGUGAUGGAUGGGGAUGCGUCUGAUUAGCUUGUUGGCGGGGUAACGGCCCACCAAGGCGACGAUCAGUAGGGGUUCUGAGAGGAAGGUCCCCCACAUUGGAACUGAGACACGGUCCAAACUCCUACGGGAGGCAGCAGUGAGGAAUAUUGGUCAAUGGGCGAGAGCCUGAACCAGCCAAGUAGCGUGCAGGAUGACGGCCCUAUGGGUUGUAAACUGCUUUUAUAAGGGAAUAAAGUGAGUCUCGUGAGACUUUUUGCAUGUACCUUAUGAAUAAGGACCGGCUAAUUCCGUG